Cygnus olor (mute swan) is the source of this 1056-nucleotide long non-coding RNA. RefSeq lists it as uncharacterized. Lineage: Eukaryota; Metazoa; Chordata; Aves; Anseriformes; Anatidae. The record is from RefSeq and is a predicted model, not a curated record. The transcript is spliced from 7 exons.
AGAGCCCAGCCAGCGGCCGGCCGUGCCACAGGGGCACCUGCGAGCACCAGAGCUGCUGGAAGCCCACAAGCACUAUGUGGCUGAAAUCCGGGCCAGGACCCAGCAGCUGGAGCAGCAGAGAGCAGGGCUGUGCCAGCGCCUGGCGGUGCUGGCGGAUGAGCAGCUGCGGCCGAAGCCCAGGCGAUCCCCAGAGGCACUGCGGGGUGAGGCCGGACACCUGCACGGAGGGACCGCCCUACACCUCAGUGCCCUCCUGCCGCCUUCCGGGCCGCUUGCUGCUGAGGCCAGGGCCCUGAUGCUGUCCUACCUGCGCAGUGGUGGCCAUGACGCGGCCAUCCUGGCCCAUCUGCUCGACCUCCAGGUGGAGGCCACAGCGCUGGAGAAAAGGGCAGCACGGAGGACAGGUAAGUGGCAGCCCCAGUGCAGAUCCCAGCCUGGGGUUCUGGCCCCCUGUCCCCACUGAGGCAGCCCCCGGCCAUGCCAUCAGAGCGCCCCAGGGCCGGCACGCAGGACCUUGAUGCGGUGCUGCUGGCCGUGGAGCUGGAGAACCAGCGGCUGGAGGACGAGCUCCUGGCACUGAAGGUCCGGAAGGCGAGGAGAGCUGAUGCCAGCUCGCUGGCGGCCCAGCAGCACGCAGAGGACCUGGCCCAGCUGCAGGCAGAGGUGGGGAUGCUGAGACGCCAAGCGGAGGGGACGGGGCCGCGGGCGGUCCCCCCCGUCCUCCCACCCCCCCAGCUCCCACCAGCCCGGUCUCUGCCAGGGUUUCUCACGGAGCCUCCGGGACCAGCCCUGGGGCCAGGCAGCCCCCCAGCCCCCAGCCGCCUGCCCGCCGCCCCCAGCCUCCCUGGCAUCCCCAUCGCAGCCCUGGAGGACCCCCCUCCUGCUCGGGAGCCGCCAGCAGAGCACAAACCCCCCCGGAGACACAUCCCAAGCCACUUUUAGAAGCUUCACAGGCUGUACCCAUGGCUCAAGCCAGGAAGCAGCAAAAAACACAGCAAGAUUUCCUCCCGCAUACUGGAGGCCCUGGGCUGGGUGUUUAAUAAAUGGCUUCCCCUG